GAGAGAAAAAAAAGGGCCCCGGCCGCAGCGCCGAGCCGAGCCGAGCCGCGCCGCGCCGAGCCCAGCCCGGGGGAGCGGAGGGGCGGCCGCGGUGCCGCCGCCGCCACCAGGGAGGAUCCGCCGCGGCGCUGCUCCAAGAUGCACAGGACCACCAGGAUAAAGAUCACCGAGCUCAACCCCCACCUGAUGUGCGCCUUGUGCGGCGGCUACUUCAUAGACGCCACCACCAUCGUGGAGUGCCUGCACUCCUUCUGCAAAACCUGCAUCGUCCGCUACCUGGAGACCAACAAGUACUGCCCCAUGUGUGAUGUCCAGGUGCACAAAACCAGGCCCCUCCUCAGCAUCAGGUCAGACAAAACCCUCCAGGAUAUCGUGUACAAACUGGUCCCGGGGCUUUUCAAAGACGAGAUGAAGAGGCGGCGUGACUUCUACGCAGCCUACCCCAUGGCCGAGGUUCCCAAUGGCUCCAACGAGGAUCGCGGGGAAGUCUCCGAGCAGGACAAGGGGAACCUGGCGGACGACGAGAUCGUCAGCCUGUCCAUAGAGUUUUACGAAGGAACGAGGGAGGAGAAGAAAGGGACCAUCGAGAACGGGGACCUGGAGAAGGAAAAGAAGAACGGGGUGCGAUUCCUGCGCUGUCCCGCCGCGAUGACGGUCAUGCACCUGGCCAAGUUCCUCCGCAACAAGAUGGAUGUUCCCAGCAAGUACAAGGUGGAAGUCCUCUACGAAGAUGAACCCCUGAGGGAAUAUUACACCCUGAUGGACAUCGCCUACAUCUACCCCUGGAGGAGGAACGGGCCCCUGCCGCUGAAAUACCGCGUCCAGCCCGCCUGCAAGCGGCUCAAGCUGUCCCAGCCGGCCACCUCCGAGUGCACCAACACCAGCGGCGCCUCCGAGUGCGAGUCGGUCAGCGACAAAGCCCACAGCCCCGCCACGCUGCCCGCCACCUCGUCCUCCCUGCCCAGCCCCGGCACGCCGUCCCACGGCUCGCCCAGCUCCAACGCCACCGCCGGCAGCGGCCCCGGCCCCGCGCUCAACGGCACCUCGAACUGCCACCCGCUGCCCCCGGCCGCCAGCCGGUGCCGCAAAACGACUGUCAAUGGCAGCACGGCCUCCGCCUUGACCUAAAAAGCGAAAAAAAAAACAACAAAAAAAAAAACAGGGACUCCUGGCUGGGUUUUAUAUAUCUAUAUAUAUUAUAUAUAUACAUAUAUAAAUAUAUAUGUGUACAUAGGGAGAAAAAAAUUAUACAUACUUAUUUUCUAUUGAUUGACCAGAUUAAUUUAAAAUGCAAAUAAGACACAUAAAUGUGGUUGAAUAUUUUAAUUUUUUUUUUUUUUUAAUUUUAACUUAUGGAAGCUGCAUGCCGGAGCUGGGAGCCACGCAGGCGCUGCCGCCUGCCCUGCUCAUUCUCUCUAACGCUUUUCCCUCUCCUCCCCACCCCUCUCCCCUUGUGCCCGCUCAGAGAGAGACAGGGCGGUGAGCAGGGCCUGCCGGACGCACAGGUAAGGGCUAAGCACAGGUAAGGGCCAAGCACAGAAGCCAAAAACUUCCCCCGCUGCCUCAGCCCCGCUCUCGGGCACGGCGUGGGCUUUGCCGGUGCGAUGCGGUGUGGCUCCGCUGGGCUCUGGCAGCGGAGGGGGAGCUGCUCCGCGUCCGCGUGCCCCCAGCCCCACUGUGUCCUUUUUUUUUGCUUUUCAGUGGGUUUUCUUUUUGCACCAGGCUCGAUAACGUGGUGCCCACAGCCAGCUGGUACCGAUGUCUGUUUGCUGGCACCAAGCAUCCCUUGCUGGUGUUGCCCACCCUGCUUUGCCUUGCCAUGCACGUUUCUGUUUCUUUUGUGCUUUCCCUGUGUGGUCUCUGGACGUGUUUUCAGGCUCUGAUCUAGCAAAGCCUUACACAGACGCCUCCCUUUCUGCACAGUAAGUAGUUUCUUUUUUUAUUCCUAGCUAAAAAAACUACACUUGUGCCCUGAUGGUGAAGGGCCAGCCAUACCGGGGAGGGGUAGGAGCACAAGCCCCAGUGAAUAUUGGAUUUUUCCUUGCCAAGGGAGUUGCCACCUUCCUGGGUGCGCCUGUGGCCGGGCAGCUGCGUGGUGGGGGCAGCACCCAGCCAGGGGGACGCGGGGCCAGGAGCCACCCGCACCCACGGGACCCCCAUGCCACUGGCCCCCUGGCAAACGUCCACAGCUUCGCCACAUUUCAGAGCUUUUUCCCCCUCUGUCCUUCCCACCCUUUCCUCCUGUCCCCACAUUGGAUUUUAAAAUAAAAAAUAAAAAAUUACUACAGUGCCUUUAGCCAGGAGGCUUCGGUGAGGGGAAGCGUGGGAAGGCGCUGCUGUUUCGGGCAGGAGCAGCACCGGCACCGCCGGCUGCCCACGCGCUCUGGGGAGGGGACCAACUUCACAGUCACAAAAAAAAGCACAGGAGCCCCGGGGAGCGCAGACCCUGGGGGUUUAUCUCCUCCCCUCGCUGGGGAGGGGGGAAUGAGUGACAAAAACCAAGCAAGUGCCUGCAGCGCCCGGACAGCAGCCGGCAGCGGCACGGUGAGAACCAAAGGAAAGCGGCACGGGAAUUGUAUGGACAGCCCGACUCCAAAGAUGCGGGUGCUCAGCGGCGGCCCUCCGGCGGCGACCCUCCUGCUCCCCUCAGGCUGCCAAAGGCACCUUUGGCUCUGGGGCAGGUUGAGGCGAUUUGACGAGGAGGAGCACGCUUCAAAGGGACCGGGCGCCUUUGGAAGAGGUCGGAGAAAUGUGUAAGUGCUAUCUGAACGCCUCUUCCCCCGCUCGUCAGCUCCAGCCUCGUCCCCGCCUGUCCCGGAGAGCGGCUUCGUGCUCCAACCAGCGCCACAAGCGAACGCGGGGACGUGCCCAGCAGGAGCAGGGAACCAGGACCGCAGCAUAGCUCAGCCCACCCUGCUUUUAGCAGAGAUCCUGUCUACGAACGCAGUCCUCGAAUUCAGUCCUCGAUUUCCAACCUCUUCCGCCGGGUGGGCUCCCCGGGUGUCUUCCCAGCAGCAGCGUAGGGCCCGUACGGCGCGUUUCAGCCCCGACUGCACGCUCACCUUCAUCAUGUACCUCUCGCCGACCCCCUGCCACCUUUCCGCUGUCGCCCAGGGAUUUGGGCACCAUCCCACUGAUCUGAACAAGGUUUUCGUUUGUCCCAGGAGUCAACUUGCUCUGGGGACAGCCGUUAACCAGCCUCCCCUCCUCCAUCCCCUCUGCUCCCGCUCCCAGCUCGUUAAUUCCAGGGCGUGAAAUGUGGUUAAAUUUUGGAACAGUUUGACCAGGUCUGGACAGGACGUCAGGUCCGGGUGGUUACCGAGCAGUCUGAAGGCUGUGCUGCUGGUAAGCAUGACAGCACAACAGGUGGCAACUCAAACUUGGGAUCUUACAGAAAAAAAAAAAAGGAAAAAAAAAAGAAAAAAAAGAAAAAAAAGAAAUAGAACAACUCCAACCCAGACAAACCCAGCUGGGCAAGCAGCUGGCUGGCAGCCAUCACAUCUGCAGAUUUAACAGCCACUGCUGUACCCCUACCCUCCUGUCCGUCAUCCCGCUGACCCAGACCCGCACUCAUCAGUGGGCCCAGCUGCUCCUGAGUCCCACGGACCUGAUGCACAGAGGUUGGCAGGUCCGGCCCUCACCUGCGUGCAGCCGUCACACACAAACGGGGCACGUCAGGGCUGAAUUUAGCACGGCAGCCUC
This is an RNA transcript of Cygnus atratus (black swan), 3702 nucleotides long. It is a transcript of the gene named polycomb group ring finger 2, with no coding region annotated. NCBI's taxonomy places the organism in Eukaryota, Metazoa, Chordata, Aves, Anseriformes, Anatidae. The record is from RefSeq and is a predicted model, not a curated record. The transcript has 11 exons.